GACGGGCCCGCACAAGCAGCGGAGCGUGUGGUUUAAUUCGAUGUUACACGAAGAACCUUACCAGGGUUUGACAUGCAAGUGGUAGGAAGCCGAAAGGUGACCGACCCUUCGGGGAGCUUGCACAGGUGCUGCAUGGCUGUCGUCAGCUCGUGUCGUGAGAUGUUCGGUUAAGUCCGCUAACGAGCGCAACCCUCGCUGUGUGUUAUAUGUGUCACACGGGACUGCCGGUCUUAAGCCGGAGGAAGGUGGGGAUGAUGUCAAGUCAGCAUGGCCUUUAUAUCCUGGGCUACGCACACGCUACAAUGGCCAACACAAUAGGUUGCUAAGCCGCGAGGUGGCGCCAAUCCAUAAAGUUGGUCUCAGUUCAGAUUGUAGGCUGCAACCCGCCUGCAUGAAGAUGGAGUUGCUAGUAACCGCAGGUCAGCUAUACUGCGGUGAAUACGUUCCCGGGCCUU
Molecule: ribosomal RNA, 455 nt
Filed under: uncultured Leptolinea sp.
Lineage: Bacteria; Bacillati; Chloroflexota; Anaerolineae; Anaerolineales; Anaerolineaceae
Description: bacterial SSU rRNA
Rfam family: Bacterial small subunit ribosomal RNA
Source: RNAcentral